AGACAAUCUCACUCUGUUGCCCAGACACAAGAUAGUGUAGUGGCACUAUCGUGGCUCACUGCAACCUCCACCUCCACCUCCCUGGUUCAAACGAUUCUCCUGCCUCAGCCUCCUGAGUAGCUGGGAUUACAGUUGUGCGCUGCCACGCCUGGCUAAUUUUUGUAUUUUUAGUAGAGACGGGGUUUCACCAUUUUGGCAAGGCUGGUCUCGAACCCAGGUGAUCUGUGUGCCUCGGCCUCCCAAAGUGCGGGAUUACAGGCUGAGCCACCGCCCCAGCCUUCUUUUUGACUUUUUUCUUCAUUUUUAGUAGUUCAGUCCAUUUAGAAACUUGCAGGUCUGUUUAACAUCUCUGAAGAAAGGUUAUUUCUAUAUUUUUAAAUACUUGGCCAUGUGAUAGAGGCUUUCCUGUACAGACAAUUUAAAGUACUAGAACUGUCUGGUCAAGAGAGGUUGUGUGAUGUAACACAUCACAAGGGAAAUUUUUAAUAAGGGAAGAAACAAAUCAGAGAAGUUGAAACAAAUUAGAGAAAGUAGGAACAAAUUAAUGGUCUUUGGACAAUGGCAGACAGCUCAUGGACACUGUGAGUGAAAUAUUGGUAGAUAACUUGUAUGGCCCAUGUAGAGAAUGAAGGGAGUUGAAGAAAGGUAUUCUUAAAACUUGAUUUUGUUAUGCCUGUAAUCCCAGCACUUUGGGAGGCCGAGGCAGACGGAUCACGAGGUCAGGAGUUCGAGACCAGCCUGACCAACAUGGUGAAACCCCAUCUCUACUAAAAUUAAGAAAAUUAGCCUGGCAUGAUUUUAGAUUAUUAGUGGUUUUUCAAACUUUAAAUUAAGUAGUGGAGUGUUUUAUUUUUUAUUUUUAUAUUUUUUGAGACAGAGUCUCGCUCUGUCAUCCAGGCUGGAGUGCAGUGGCACAAUGUCGGCUCACUGCAGCCUCUGCCUCCCAGGUUCAAGCAACCCUCAUGUCUCUGCCUCCAAGUAGCUGGGAUUACAGGUGAGUACCACCACACUUGACCAAUAUUUGUAUUUUUAUUAGAGAGGGGGUUUUGCCAUGUUGCCCAGGCUGUCUCAAACUCCUGGCCCCAAAUGAUCCGCCCAAGAUCUCGGCCUCCCAAGGUGCUGGGAUUACAGGCGUGAGUCACCAUGUAGUGCCAGUAGUGGAGUG
This 1165-nucleotide long non-coding RNA is filed under the name Homo sapiens (human). Its description in RNAcentral is "HSALNT0302513". Lineage: Eukaryota; Metazoa; Chordata; Mammalia; Primates; Hominidae. The record is from RNAcentral.